UCCGGUGGCCAUAGCGAGAGUGAAACACCCGUUCCCAUUCCGAACACGGAAGUUAAGCCUCUUGCGCCGAUGGUACUGGCUAACGGCCGGGAGAGUAGGUCACUGCCGGGA
RNAcentral lists this ribosomal RNA (111 nucleotides) under Planctomycetes bacterium GWA2_50_13. The record is from RNAcentral. Lineage: Bacteria; Pseudomonadati; Planctomycetota. RNAcentral also lists the same sequence under 5 other names.